AGCAGCCGCGGUAAUUCCAGCUCCAAUAGCGUAUAUUAAAGUUGUUGCAGUUAAAAAGCUCGUAGUUGAAUUUCGGGGUUAGUAGGUUGGUCAUGCCUCUGGUAUGUACUGGUCUCACUGAUUCCUCCUUCCUGAUGAACCUUAAUGCCAUUUAUUUGGUGUUUUGGGGAAUUUGGACUGUUACUUUGAAAAAUUAGAGUGUUUAAAGCAAGCUAACGCUUGAAUACAUUAGCAUGGAAUAAUGAAGUAGGACGUUCGAUCCUAUUUUGUUGGUUUCUAGGAUUGACGUAAUGAUUAAUAGGGAUAGUUGGGGGCAUUAGUAUUCAAUUGUCAGAGGUGAAAUUCUUGGAUUUAUUGAAGACUAACUACUGCGAAAGCAUUUGCCAAGGAUGUUUUCAUUAAUCAAGAACGAAAGUUAGGGGAUCGAAGACGAUCAGAUACCGUCGUAGUCUUAACCAUAAACUAUAGCCGACUAGGGAUCGGAUGAUGUAAUUUUUAA
This 499-nucleotide ribosomal RNA is filed under the name uncultured Glomus. RNAcentral describes it as "SSU rRNA". It matches the Rfam family "Eukaryotic small subunit ribosomal RNA", at positions 569 to 1072 of the family's 1831-position model. Lineage: Eukaryota; Fungi; Glomeromycota; Glomeromycetes; Glomerales; Glomeraceae. The record is from RNAcentral.